UCAGGCCUAACACAUGCAAGUCGAGCGGAAACGAGUUAUCUGACCCUUCGGGUGACGAUAACGGCGUCGAGCGGCGGACGGGUGAGUAAUGCCUGGGAAAUUGCCCUGAUGUGGGGGAUAACCAUUGGAAACGAUGGCUAAUACCGCAUAAUAGCUUCGGCUCAAAGAGGGGGACCUUCGGGCCUCUCGCGUCAGGAUAUGCCCAGGUGGGAUUAGCUAGUUGGUGAGGUAAGGGCUCACCAAGGCGACGAUCCCUAGCUGGUCUGAGAGGAUGAUCAGCCACACUGGAACUGAGACACGGUCCAGACUCCUACGGGAGGCAGCAGUGGGGAAUAUUGCACAAUGGGCGCAAGCCUGACGCAGCCAUGCCGCGUGUAUGAAGAAGGCCUUCGGGUUGUAAAGUACUUUCAGCAGUGAGGAAGAUGGGUAUGUUAAUAGUAUACUCAUUUGACGUUAGCUGCAGAAGAAGCACCGGCUAACUCCGUGCCAGCAGCCGCGGUAAUACGGAGGGUGCGAGCGUUAAUCGGAAUUACUGGGCGUAAAGCGCAUGCAGGUGGAUGAUUAAGUCAGAUGUGAAAGCCCGGGGCUCAACCUCGGAAUAGCAUUUGAAACUGGUCAUCUAGAGUACUGUAGAGGGGGGUAGAAUUUCAGGUGUAGCGGUGAAAUGCGUAGAGAUCUGAAGGAAUACCGGUGGCGAAGG
Molecule: ribosomal RNA, 700 nt
Filed under: uncultured bacterium
Lineage: Bacteria
Description: bacterial SSU rRNA
Rfam family: Bacterial small subunit ribosomal RNA
Source: RNAcentral